GACUUAAAAUCCGUUGGCUUUAUUGACCGUGAGGGUUCAAGUCCCUCUACCCCCA
Molecule: transfer RNA, 55 nt
Filed under: Hildebrandtiella pachyclada
Lineage: Eukaryota; Viridiplantae; Streptophyta; Bryopsida; Hypnales; Pterobryaceae
Also listed under: 108 other names
Description: partial tRNA-Leu
Rfam family: tRNA
About the family: Transfer RNA (tRNA) molecules are approximately 80 nucleotides in length. Their secondary structure includes four short double-helical elements and three loops (D, anti-codon, and T loops).
Source: RNAcentral